GGUAAACCUGAGAAACCCGAAAGGUCGAAAGAGGAAAUUCAUUCGCGUUUCGGCUGUCGACGUUAAACGUUUAUACGACGGAUGGCGUUUAGGCGUCGUCUGCGUUUUAUGUUUUUCGAAUCGAUGUCGAACGCGUGCACUUUUCCUCUAGUAGGACGUCGCGAUCCGUUGGGUGUCUGUCUAAGGUUCGAAGUGGAGCCCACGCGAUUUUUUCGUGAAUCGUAUGGACCUUCGUUAUCCCGACAGACUCGCUCGACGGUAAACUAAUGGCGCGAGGCCGCUAUUUUUAAUUAGCGUUCGGCCCGUAGCAAGCACGUUCUGCGUUUGACGGCCAUCGGACCUGGUGCCGAUUCUGUCCCGGAACGACUGUUGGUUGCGGUGUUCUCGAACAGACCUCGUUUGAAACGCCGAUCAGCGACGCUAUAGAUUUGGGUACUCUCAGGACCC
This 447-nucleotide ribosomal RNA is filed under the name Leptaulaca nr. fissicollis JJG234. RNAcentral describes it as "eukaryotic LSU rRNA". The record is from RNAcentral. Lineage: Eukaryota; Metazoa; Arthropoda; Insecta; Coleoptera; Chrysomelidae.